This is a long non-coding RNA of Cercocebus atys (sooty mangabey), 3308 nucleotides long. RefSeq lists it as uncharacterized. The transcript has 5 exons. Lineage: Eukaryota; Metazoa; Chordata; Mammalia; Primates; Cercopithecidae. The record is from RefSeq and is a predicted model, not a curated record.
GGGGCCUUUUCGUCCCCGGCGUCCGGGCGCGCCGCAUCGACCCCCACCCCGGCCCCUGCCCCCCGGCGGCGGCCGGUGGGCAGAAAGACCGAAACCCGCUCACUACCGCCUCUCGAAUCGCGGCUCUGCUGUUUGCGGGGCGUGCUAGAAACGUGGUCCUGGAAAGAAUGGCGUCCAUUUACAUAAUGCUUUGUUUGCGUUUCGCAAGUUUCUUUCGGUUAAAGCCACGGAAACCCCACCUCCUGCCCUUGUGUCGUUUCCACCGCGGCACCCUUUUCCGACAUAGAAACAACAGUGUGCGCCUAUGGAGGCCUUGUUUAUUCAGGGGAUGCCGGCCAGGGCUUCAGGACGUUUCUGCGGCUUUUCCCGCGCGGCCUGGGCUCCCGCGGCUGCCUUUCGGGCCCAUGGGCGCAGCCACCGCACCCGACUCUCCGGGGGCGGCCCCGUGGCCCGCCAUCUUGGAAGGCCUUUUUUGCAGGUUCCUCCCGCUGAGGAAGUGUCGUUUAAGACGCUGGCAUACGAGUUGUGAUUUCUGCCCUUUCCCCUUCCUCCUCGGGCUAAGCCAGACCAGCAAGGGCCCCGUGCACAACGUGCUUCAGAAUCCCUCAGGGAAAGCGGCUAACGUGGCGCUACUCCGCCUCCCCCGUUCCUUCCCCGAGGGGCGGCCGCCAUGUUGCCUGAACACAAAAUGGCGACACGUGGCUAGCAUUCGUCGCCAACGAGAAAUUGGGGUCGGCCCGAAAGCUCUGGAAUGUACCCCCCUUCCUCCCCGGGGCCUUUCCCGCUCCGCGAGUUUUAUGACCUAGAAAACCCCACAGGCUGGUCUGAAGCUCGGAAGCCUAAUUUUAACGCGUUUCCCUCCCUCUAAUUUGAAACGGGAACGCGAAUAACUAAAAUGUAGGCACAAAAUUUAACCUCUCGCCUUUUUAAAGCUUAACGAUGAAUAAUAGGGGGCAGUAUCAAGGGAUAAUUUGGGUCCCCACAGUACCAAAGCAUUUAGAAACCUCUGCUUAAUUUAAUAGAAUGAGAUAAAUUACUGCUUUUCUAGACUUCCUAGCAUGGGCCGUUGUGCUGGAGAGAACGAGAAAUACGAAGAGACCAGAAUGCCUCUGACUUUUUCAUAGGCCGGUUGGCCGGUGAAUCUUACUAAUAGUUUACCACAAUUCAGUGUUCACUCUUAGUUUAGAAGGGACAGGCGUUUAUUGUGCAUUGGCCAGUGCCAGCACAUCCGAUGCAAGGCAUUUCACCGUAUUCUAUCUUUAAUUUUUACCAUGAUCCUCUGAGGUAGGUGUUCUUAUCUCUUUCUCUCUUUUUUAAACAGAGGAAGACACUUAAACAUAAAGAUGAAGUGCCUAAUUCAAGGUCACACAAUGUCGGGGAUGGACCUCCAGAUUUCCUUACUGACCUGCAUUAUCUGUGGAUACCUGAGUGAAUUACACACCACCCAUUUUAUAGAUGAAGCCACUGAGACAUGGAGCAACUGACUGACUAGUCACUGCCCCACCCCUGGAGCCUCACACAUGACUCGUCUCCUCUCACUCAGUGACCACAGGUUGGUUGAGGGGUUUGACAAGGCUAAGAAGUUACUUAUCCUGUAUUACUUGAGGGAAAUGAAACAAAAAGACUACAGCCCCACUCCCAGCUACUCCGUGAGGUGGUAGCUAGGUAAGACAUGGUCUUGUACCACAGUGGUUAAGAAUGUGACUUUGGAGCCAGCCUGCUAGGGGAUGAAUUCUGACUCAGCCAUUUACUAACUGGGUGACCUUAGUUCCCUGAGCACAUGCUGUUGAGUAAUCCUGCCUGGACCAGUCCUUCCCUCACCCUAGACUUCACCUUCAGUUCCCCUUUAUACCACCUGCUGAAGCUGCCAGCCAGCCUUUUCCACCACCCUCCCUCCCCCAAGGGUGUUUGGCUUCUCAGACCCUAGCCUGAGCUAGUGCCCUUAGCUCACUAGGGUCUUGCCAGGAAAGUCAAAGGAGAACAUACAUACUGCCAAAGAGUACCUAAUAAUGAGAAUUCCCAUGCUGAAUUGUGAUUUAUAGUCAGCAUAGCACAUGUGUCACAUGAUUAUACUUAGGCUGAUUUUAGCCUGAAUAAUCUGCUUCUGUGAUCCUGUAUGUGGAAAACCUAGAAAUUUCUCUGUGAUCCUCCUUCCUGGAUCACUAAGAGACAAGUCAAGACAUAGGUUCAUUGUACCACCUGUAUUAAUCUGGGCCUUGUUGAGACCAUUUAAAAAAGGUGUGAUGCUAGAAGUAAGGUCCAGGCCUCCCACACACAGUUUCAAGGCUGUGACCAUAGUCAAAUCCUGUUGCUUUGAGUCCAAAGAGUUUAAAAUAGUGUUGGAAACCUCCUAGGGAAAACAAAAAAACAACACCAUAACUUCCUGGGUAAGGAAGUGACAUGUGCUGACUAGAGCAGGAGGGGUAGCCAAGGCUCCAAGUUCUAUUCUGGACCUGCUGUUGAUUUGAGGUGUGACAUUCAGCAAUCUGAGCUGGUGUUCUGUAGCUCGGAUUGGUUUCUCAUCUUCCGCAGAGAGAGUGAAAAGAGGCUGUGCUUGCAGUGGAAAAGGUGAAUACUGGUCUCUUGUCCUUUAGGAGAACCUCACCAUUGCACAUCCUGCCUCUCAUUUGAAUUUCCAGGCUUCUUUUUUAGAGUCUCGCUCUGUCGCCCAGCUUGGAGUGCAGUGGUGUGAUCUUGGCUCACUGCAACCUCUGCCUCUGGGUUUAAGUGAUUCUCUCACCUCAGCCUCCCAAGUAGUUGAAAUUAUAGGUGUGUGCCAUCAUGCCUGGCUAAUUUUUGUUUUUUAGUAGAGAUGGGGUUUCACCAUGUUGGCCAGGCUUGUCUCGAACUCCUGACCUCAAUUGAUCCACCUGCCUCGGCCUCCCAACCAGGCUUCUUUUUUAAAUGCAGAAAUACCCGCCAACCCAGAGUUAGUAUAGAAACCCAGCAAUGUUGUUUAUGUUUUACUUGAAUUCAUUUCAUCAGAAUUGCAUUCCUUUUAACAGUGUGAUUAGAUCAGCUCUUGUAGGGGAUGGCAGCUUCAAUAGGGUUUAGGAAAGAAAAGGAAGAUUUGUGUGGGGCAUACACAUUGGCUUUGAUAGCUUGAGGAUACCAGGUACAUGAUAGUUUAGAUGGAUAACAGAAACUUGUGUCCAUUGAGAGCCAGGCAUGUAUUAGAUGCUUUCAUAUAUAAUUUAAUUGUAGUACAAACCAAUAAAGUAUUCCCAUUUUUUGCACGUGAGCAAGCUGAAAAAGAAGUUAUAUAACUUGUCCAAGGUCACACAGCUAAUAAAAGGGCUGAGCUAGGA